Molecule: transfer RNA, 72 nt
Filed under: Camelus bactrianus (Bactrian camel)
Lineage: Eukaryota; Metazoa; Chordata; Mammalia; Artiodactyla; Camelidae
Also listed under: 2 other names
Rfam family: tRNA
About the family: Transfer RNA (tRNA) molecules are approximately 80 nucleotides in length. Their secondary structure includes four short double-helical elements and three loops (D, anti-codon, and T loops).
Source: Rfam by way of RNAcentral
GUGGGUAUAGCUCAGUGGUAGAGCACGUGCUUAGCAUACACCAGGUAUUGGGUUUAACCCCCAGUAUCACCA